AAAUCAAGAUUCACUUGCACGUUCACUUACACAUGCUACUUCUACUCCAGAAGUACGCAUCCACAUAUAUCCACUCAUUUCCAUCUCCAGAUUCACCCAAAAUUAUUCUACUCCUAAUUCGGGAGAGAAUAGCCAAAAACAUUAUCCUAUCCCUGUUAUUCCCUGUGAAAUAAAUGCUCGAGUUAUCUUAGUUACUACCACUUGCUAUAUUAUUUAAGGAGAUGAGCGCUCUAAAAAAAAGAGGAUACGAGGAAAUAAAAAGGGGCAAGUGCUCGGAACCUCGAAGAAAAGAAAAAGUGAGACGAGAGGUAAAAAUGGACAAGUGUCCGACAGUAGAAUUAGGGGUACAAGAUACCCACCUGAGAGAAAAGAAAAAGAAAAUAUAGAGCAUCUCAUUCUCCUCAAAAAACUUCAAAGUGCAAGAAAGGUAUGUAUCCCCUCAAAAGAGCAAAAGAAUUAGACUUUCACCAUUGUUAUCACCAUCAUCACCAUACACCAUUCACUCGCCACACAAGCACAUCUUGAUUUGACUUAUUGACUUGUUCUUCUAGAUCCAUGGUUUGACUAUGCAAUAAAUGUCUUAUAAGUAUGUAUUAUCUGUCUCCCACCUAUGAGCUCCAGAUAUCAAAACCUUAUUAGAGUAGGGUGA
RNAcentral lists this long non-coding RNA (649 nucleotides) under Sorghum bicolor (sorghum). RNAcentral's name for it is "long non-coding RNA (SBIC_LNC008847)". The record is from RNAcentral. Lineage: Eukaryota; Viridiplantae; Streptophyta; Magnoliopsida; Poales; Poaceae.